UUCACGCCACCAGCUCUAUCUCUCCCUAAUUCAAAUUUCAAAUCUUAUAUCUCUCUCUCCUACCACACACAGCUCUCUCUUAUUCCCCCGAACAAUUCCAUCCCUCAAAACUCUCUUAAAUCUCUUAUACCCAAUACCCAGCCCUAAUUUCAGCCCCAAAUAUCUCAUACCCAACCCCUAAUCUACAAGCCAGAGCAUAGAGAAAGCACCAACAAGUCGCAGUCAUCUCUCUCUCUUCUACUCUCCCGCCAACGUAGCAACGAUUCGCCGGUGCGAUAACGGCAGCGUAGCAUACACAGUCGCUAUUUUAGCCCAAUCUCUCUCUUUCUCUCUGAACUCGGUACUAUUAGAGAGUAAAAAAGUUUGAAGUGCAACCGACCAUGAAUGAGAAAGCCAGAGUCUCCAAAGAACUCAAUACCAAACACCGACAGGUUUUAUCCUUUUUUCUGUUUUACAACUUGAUUUUUUAUCAUAUUUUGGUGAUAUUGCUUCGAUAUGUGAUUUUUCAUGAUUUUCAGAAUGAAAUUUUAUUACCCUUUUCUUUGGUUUACUGAUAUGCUUAAUUUAAGCUUAGUUUGAAUAUACUCGUUUUUUUUCUGGAUCAUUAUUAGGCAUUUAUUUUGAUUUUAUAGUUUUUAUUGAUGGUUAUUUUGUUCUGGGUAUUUUUGUUUAUAGCUAUUAUAUGUUUAUGUUCUUUUUUUUUGUUGUUGUUUAUGUUCUGAGAGAGAAAUUCAAAAUUUUUCUGAUCCAUUAUUGUGUUCUUCCUAUUUUUUCAAAAUACUGAUCAAAUUAUUCAAUAAGUUGUUAUUUUUUAACAAUUUAUAAUUAUUAACUUUGUUUUUUGACGAACUAAAUUUAUUUCAACUUUAAAUAUAUUUUAAUUGUUUGUUGAUACUCGGGAAAAGAAAGACAUACCAUACCCAUACUCAUACUCAACAAAUUUAGUGAGUUGGGACUGGAAUUACCCAUAAAGCCGGCCAAGUUGCACCCCUAAAGUGGAGUACUAUUUUGAGAUCUGUUGAGCCACUGAAUUCAAAGACUAUCAAGUAGUAUCAAACAAAGAGAGCGCCCCAAAGAGACAAUGAUUAAGAGAAGAAGAAUAAUUCUUCAAAAAUACUCCAAUAAUUAUAUAUUUAGUAUACAAAGUUUCAUUAAAUAUAACAUAACAUUUAAUAGUAAUUUAAGAAUCAAUUAUAGAGGGUGAUCGAGCGAGAGCAAUGAUUUUCGUGAGUUUGUUGGUUGGAAGCUCAGAGUAACUUCUUGUGUUUGGAAUUGAAUUUAUUAGUCACAUAACAAAAGAUUUAUAACACACAAGCAAGCACAACAGAUUUAUAGCAAAAAAGCUCUUGUAAAUUGAUCUGACUUGAUCACUAACCAGAUUGCAAUUACUGCUCGACCCAAGAAUAAAAUAAGUACUACUAAAAGUUAUUUGUGCUGGAGUAGGCCCCUCCUAGCAAUAGCAUACAGUUACAAUUUUAGAUACUACUCCUAAUGAGGAACAGGGAGACCUUGAAGCAUGGCUUCAUGACAACACAUAGCAAUUGUCUGAAACUUGAAAUCACUCGAAAACAAGCGAGCAACCGAGUUGGUAUUAAUGCUCAUCUCUUCAAUGAGUUGAAGCAGGAUGCGCACAAGUUCUUCCCCAUCACUCCAUUCAUGAAUUUUGAUCUUUAUAAUAUCUCGCCUUUUGCAUAUCAAAUCCCAAACUGGGAAAUUCUUCUUCGGCAUCGCAUAAUCUCCUUCUUUUAGCUUCGAUAUCGGGCAAUAAUCUUCGGUACCAUCCCCGACAUAGCUUAUCAUUUUCUUCUUCUCUUCUUCCUUAGCUAGAGAAGCUUGUAUCCUUUCUAUUAUCAGACCCUAUUAAACCUCUAAAACCAAAGCAUGUACACUAAAAAUUUUCAAUUUAAUUACGUCUACAUUGACCAAGUGUCACCAUCCCUAACCAUGAAGUGAAGGGCCUAUGAUUGUGAUUAUAUUGUACAAAUCCAAAUAUUCAUGGUUUUUUUACUAUGUUUGGAGUUAAUGGUGUAUUUUGUUAUACUUAUAGUACCAAUUUUUGUUUAGGAAAAUAAGUGGUAAAAAAAAUAUUUGAGUUUCCCUUUUGACUUUGUGUGCCAUAAGUGGUAAAAAAAAUAUUUGAGUUUCUUUGUAAAUUCAUUUUCUUUAAUUUAACUUGUGGUUACUGCUUAGUAAGUAGUUAGUGGUUACGCUAACAUGAUUAGUUUUCAAAUUGGCUUAACUAAUUAAGGAUAGAAGGAAUCAGUUAUCAUUCACAAUUAUAAGUUGUUUGUCUUAUAAGCUGUUUGCCAGGAGGUCUUGCUUUAGUAGUUUUUUCAUUGGUAGCCUUGUUAGAUUUCUUUUGUGAUUGAGGCUGACAUCUAUCUUGCUGUAGAGUUGAUUAGUUUUCAAAUUGUUUUGGAAUAAUAAAAUUAUUGAGUAAUCAUGGAACGUGAAAUGAUUAGCUGUAAGACGAUCUCACAGGUAGAUGAAUCAUGUGAGGCCCAUUUGUGGUGCUUGUGUAUCAUGUCUUUUAGAGGGAUGAUAGAUCAGAUUUUUUAAUUUAUUUACUAUUUCGAUAAGUAGGAGAGGUGACCUUUAGAUGAAUGAUAGAUAUGCUUUUGUGCGGAACAAAGACCAUUUGUACAAGUAUGUAACAAAAUAUAUAACAAUGAUAUAUUGUUUUAUAGCGUAGGAGAGAGAUGUUAUGUCAUGGAGAGCAUGUGCACAAGUGUCUAAAAGAAUAAAGAACAAUGUUUUUACGAGGAUUUAUAUUGCUAAUGAUGAAUUAGCCUAGGAAAACUAGAAAAAGGCAUUCAUGUCAAGUGAACAACUGAUCAAAUAUGAAAUUAAUGAUUUGGCAGUGGGAGAUCCUGGUGUACUAGAAAAUCUAAAGUAUUGUUAUUAUUAUCAUUAGCUUUAGAACUUUCAGAAAGUCUACUUUAGUAUGGAACCCAAGCUUCUUCAUUUGCAUCCUGUUUUUAAGUUGGGGAAAGAAGGGAAGGGAAAAUUGGGACACUUGAAACUUUUAAUUUUUUUUGGAAGAGAGGCUCCAAGUUUCGCUUCCAUUACUGCCGGAAUAAAACUCAAAAAAAAGGCCAUUAGCUAAUUACACAGUUAAUGCACUUGUUUUAGAUGAUAAAGAUAGUCAUUACCAUAUAUUCUUACUUCAGUAAGUAGUUGUUGAGGAGUGGAUAGAUAAAUACAACCUUGGAAGAAUUAAUUUUUUUAACAAACUAAAAUAUAACUACUUUAGUAGCAGGAUGAACUAUAUCUAUAAUAUAAAACAGAGCAGAGAGAGAAAAAAGAUAAGUGUCCCAUCCGAGUACACGUCAGCAGCUCUCUCUCUUGUCCUUCGUAUUCAAAUUUCAAACCCACACAGAGAGCUCUUAUUCCACAUCUUUACUGCAUCAAAUACCUACUGUGAGGCCACAAUCCUGUAUGACUUUAGUUGGACAUGGAUUUACUUUAGGCCACAAUCCACAAUCACGUAACAACUCCGACUGAAGCUAUAGAGUCGCCGAUGAUAAUUGACACUGAUAGAGAGUCGAAGAUUAUGAUGGAAGCUAUGGGUCGCACACGUAACUCACUUUUGGGGCUAAUCAAAGAAGUUGACUGAAUUUUUUGGGACUAAUUUGAAGGUAUUUUUAAUGAUCUGAAAAUGGGUUUGAAACCCACUUUGAAUUCGCGAUUGUUGGCUAUAGGAAUCGAGCACGAAGGGGGUAAACAGGUAAUAAUUUUUUUAUUUGGGCUUUUUUUACCCGUAUUUCUGUACCAAUGGAGUAUCGAUCUAUCGCCCACUACAUGCGAUUCAGCUGUGAUUCGUACGAUUCUUAUACAAAGAUCAAUUCUGCUACGAUUAUGAAUUGAUUCUCUCCUGUUUCGUGUCGAAUCGUACAUAUGUAUUGCGUAUAGUACGAUUUUGACAACUAUGGUUCUUUGGUUAUUCUUUUGACCCAAACUGAAUAAAAAAACUGCCAUAAAUGAGUUACCAUAAGAUUGAAUGUGAUCAGAUUCAAAGGAGAUAAAUAGAUGGAAUAAACAAUUGAAACAUGGAAGAAUCACCUUGAACUAAAUGUUCUUCAAUGUCCUCUUUAUAUUGUAUGAUUCAUUCUAAAGAUGCCAGGUGGAGUCCUUGGUUGUAGAGACUAUGCUUUGGCAUUUAGUAUAUUUAAUUAUAGAUGUUAUGUCAUUUGUCAUUUCACCUGGGAUUUGUUAUGUAUGUCUUGUGGUGCACUGUGAUUAAUUAUACAGGCCAUUAGUAUAGAUUAAUUGUUUCCAUGGAAUUACUCAGAACCUUGUCUUCACUCAGGCUUUCCAGCCUUGAGAUUAAAGACUUGACCCAAAGAC
This 4347-nucleotide long non-coding RNA is filed under the name Panax ginseng (ginseng). RNAcentral describes it as "long non-coding RNA (PGIN_LNC013363)". Lineage: Eukaryota; Viridiplantae; Streptophyta; Magnoliopsida; Apiales; Araliaceae. The record is from RNAcentral.